GGCAAAUCUAGGUGAGUAGAGACAAUGUUCUAUGUGAGGGUGAAAGUGGUGCUAUUUAGAAGUAGGAAUGGUAUUAACAAUGGAACAAACAAACUCUAGGAGCCGAUCUGGGUGAGUAAAGACAGUGUUCUCUGUGAGGGUAGAAGUGGUGCUAUUUGGAAGUAGGAAUGGUAUUAACAAUGGAACAAACAAACUCUAGGAGCCGACCUGGGUGAGUAGAGACAAUAUUCUCUGUGAUGCACG
Molecule: long non-coding RNA, 243 nt
Filed under: Carica papaya (papaya)
Lineage: Eukaryota; Viridiplantae; Streptophyta; Magnoliopsida; Brassicales; Caricaceae
Description: long non-coding RNA (CPAP_LNC004859)
Source: RNAcentral